CGUCGGCAAUAAUAUGCAAGGAUCAUCGAGUAGCUGUCAAUGGGCUCUUGCUUGCUCGAGAGAUAAGGCUUACGUUACGCAGUUGUAGAGGGCUAGCUCGGUGAAGAUAAUAGCCGACCUUGAGUCGACACAGCAUUGCUAUUGACAAGCCUGUCUGGCGCAAACACUUUGGGUCAUAGACCUUUUCAUAUAAUCGGCUCGUACAGAAUUUCUCCCAAC
This 219-nucleotide long non-coding RNA is filed under the name Elaeis guineensis (African oil palm). Its description in RNAcentral is "long non-coding RNA (EGUI_LNC034956)". The record is from RNAcentral. Lineage: Eukaryota; Viridiplantae; Streptophyta; Magnoliopsida; Arecales; Arecaceae.